RNAcentral lists this ribosomal RNA (494 nucleotides) under uncultured bacterium. Its description in RNAcentral is "partial 16S ribosomal RNA". It matches the Rfam family "Bacterial small subunit ribosomal RNA", at positions 28 to 507 of the family's 1533-position model. The record is from RNAcentral.
GACGAACGCUGGCGGCGUGCUUAACACAUGCAAGUCGAACGGUGAAGCGCCUUCCUUUUUGGUGGGUGUGGAUGAGUGGCGAACGGGUGAGUAACACGUGAGUAACCUGCCCCCUUCUUCUGGAUAACCGCAUGAAAGUGUGGCUAAUACGGGAUAUUCUGGGUCUGUCGCAUGAUGGGUCUGGGAAAGAUAUUGUUUCGGUGGGGGAUGGGCUCGCGGCCUAUCAGCUUGUUGGUGGGGUGAUGGCCUACCAAGGCGGUGACGGGUAGCCGGCCUGAGAGGGUGGACGGUCACACUGGGACUGAGACACGGCCAAGACUCCUACGGGAGGCAGCAGUGGAGAAUAGUGCACAAUGGGCGCAAGCCUGAUGCAGCGCCGCCGCGUGAGGGAUGGAGGCCUGCGGGUUGUGAACCUCUUUCGCCAGUGAAGCAGGCCUGCCUCGUUUGUGGGUGGGUUGACGGUAGCUGGAGAAGAAGCGCCGGCUAACUACGUG